RNAcentral lists this ribosomal RNA (223 nucleotides) under uncultured bacterium. RNAcentral's name for it is "partial 16S ribosomal RNA". It matches the Rfam family "Bacterial small subunit ribosomal RNA", at positions 30 to 252 of the family's 1533-position model. The record is from RNAcentral.
AUUGAACGCUGGCGGAAUGCUUUACACAUGCAAGUCGAGCGGCAGCGCGGGGCAACCUGGCGGCGAGCGGCGAACGGGUGAGUAACGGAUCGGAACGUAUCCUGAAAUGGGGGAGUAGCCCGGCGAAAGACCGGAUUAAUACCGCAUACGAUCUCAGGAUGAAAGACAGGGGACCGGCAAGGCCUUGCGUUCUGGAGCGGCCGAUCUCUGAUUAGCUAGUUGG